UCAGUGACGGGAGCUCCGGUCACAAAUUCCAUAUUAGUAACCGGAAACACGGUAUAGUGACGGAAAUCUCCGUCACUAUACGCGUGUUUUCUGGUAGUGGGUAGCAAAAGUCCAUAAAGAUCGAGGUACUUAGAUCCAUGGUACUUUUGUCAUCACCUUUCAAUCAUCCUAUUUCUGGCUAAUCCAACGAUGAUAGCAUGUCCGCGUAUCU
RNAcentral lists this long non-coding RNA (211 nucleotides) under Phoenix dactylifera (date palm). Its description in RNAcentral is "long non-coding RNA (PDAC_LNC015284)". Lineage: Eukaryota; Viridiplantae; Streptophyta; Magnoliopsida; Arecales; Arecaceae. The record is from RNAcentral.